CCUACGGGUGGCAGCAGUGGGGAAUAUUGCACAAUGGGGGGAACCCUGAUGCAGCGACGCCGCGUGAGUGAAGAAGUAUUUCGGUAUGUAAAGCUCUAUCAGCAGGGAAGAAAAUGACGGUACCUGACUAAGAAGCCCCGGCUAACUACGUGCCAGCAGCCGCGGUAAUACGUAGGGGGCAAGCGUUAUCCGGAUUUACUGGGUGUAAAGGGAGCGUAGACGGCAGCACAAGUCUGGAGUGAAAUGCCGGGGCUUAACCCCGGAACUGCUUUGGAAACUGUGCAGCUAGAGUGCAGGAGAGGUAAGUGGAAUUCCUAGGGUAGCGGUGAAAUGCGUAGAUAUUAGGAGGAACACCAGUGGCGAAGGCGGCUUAAUGGACUGUAACUGACGUUGAGGCUCGAAAGCGUGGGGAGCAAACAGGAUUAGAUACCCUAGUAGUC
RNAcentral lists this ribosomal RNA (440 nucleotides) under uncultured bacterium. RNAcentral's name for it is "partial 16S ribosomal RNA". It matches the Rfam family "Bacterial small subunit ribosomal RNA", at positions 338 to 795 of the family's 1533-position model. The record is from RNAcentral.